RNAcentral lists this long non-coding RNA (719 nucleotides) under Apteryx owenii (little spotted kiwi). RNAcentral describes it as "lncRNA (ENSAOWG00000019277.1)". Lineage: Eukaryota; Metazoa; Chordata; Aves; Apterygiformes; Apterygidae. The record is from RNAcentral.
UCUUGGGGGGGAUUUGGGCGGUGCUCCCCCACGGCGGGGCUCAGCCCCACGGCGAUGCCCCCCCCCAGCAGUGCCCUGCGGCAACAAGGGUGACAUCUGUGCUGAGAGCGCCUGCUGCGUGGGGACGCGCAGCCAAGGCUACUCCUGCCGCUGCCGCCCCGGCUUCACGUCGGUGACCCUCAACAGCUCCCUGCACGCCUGCCGCGCCUUGAACGAGUGCGAAGUCGCCCCGGGGCGCUGCGGCCCCAACCGCGUCUGCGUCCCCCAGUCCGGCACCGCCACCUGCGUCUGCCUGCCCGGCUACAGCGGCCCCAACUGCACAGAGCGGAUUUUCGUCUGCGAAAACCAAACCGUGCAGGUUGAGGCUCUCCGGAGGCGCUGCGAGCACUUGACCCCGGGGGGCGACCCGGAUGACUUCUGCCGCGUGCUCAACGCCACGGUGAAGCAGCUGGAGGUGGCCUGCGGCAGCGGUGACCGCAAGGGUGACAUCAAGCUGCAGGAGACCCUCGCCCCGCUCUUCAACGCGACGGCCCAGCUGCAGAGCAAGCACAACCCUGAGGCCGUCGCCGUGGCCCAGCUGCUGCUGCACACGGCCGAGGUCCUCGUCCUGGAGGUCGCCGUGCGCAGCGGCCAGUCCAGGCCCAUCACCACGGACACCCUGAGCGCCGUGGCCCAGCUGGUCACCAACGGCUGCCGGCUGGCCGGCCAGGUCCUGGAGC